This 1289-nucleotide unclassified non-coding RNA is filed under the name Hevea brasiliensis (rubber tree). The record is from RNAcentral. Lineage: Eukaryota; Viridiplantae; Streptophyta; Magnoliopsida; Malpighiales; Euphorbiaceae.
GAGAAAUCGACUAAACCCAUCUUGGACAAUAGAAAUAAGAAGAUUUGAUUGCAAAGUGGUUUAGUAAAGAGGUCUGCAAGCUGGUGUUUGGAGGAAGCAUGUGCAGUAGAAAUGAAACAUCUGCUAAUUGGUUCCUAACAAUGUGACAAUCAAUUUCCAAAUGCUUGGUAUGCUCAUGGAAUACUAGAUUUGCUGCUAUGUGUAAAGCAGCCUGAUUGUCACAUUUUAAAGGAAUAGGUAAGGAAAUUGGAAGCUGAAACUCUUGCAUGAUGUAAGUGAGCCAUUGAUGUUCACACAUAGUACUAGCCAUACUUCUAUAUUCUACUUCUGCUGAGGAAUGACUGACUGUGGACUGUUUCUUCGACUUCCAAGAGAUAAGUGAAGAUCCUAAGAAAAUGCAGUAGCCAGUUAUUGACUUUCUUGUGGUAGAGCAAGUAGCUCAGUCAGCAUCACAAUAAGUUGACAACUGCAAUGAAUUGGUUUUAGGGGAAAAUAGGCCUUCAGCUGGACACCCUUUGACGUAUUUCAAAACACGCAAUGCUGCAUCAAGAUGAGACUGACAAGGCACUUGCAUGUAUUGACUAAGCUGCUGGACUGAAUAAGUAAUGUCUGGUCUAGUAAGGCUUAAGUCAAGCAACCUACCCACAAGUCUUCUAUACAGUUCUGGAUUAGGUAAGGGCUCUCCCAUAUCAGGAACCAACCUGCAACCUUUAACCAUAGGUGUAGGAGUUGAUUUAGCAUCUUUUAAGCCAGAAUCUUUGACAAUAUCAAGUAUAUGCUUCGUCUGGUUCAAAGACAUUCCUAAUUGAGACCUUGCGAUCUCAAGACCAAGGACAAACUUGGCAUACCCCAUGUCUUUUAUAGUAAAUUGAUGGUGAAGAAAUUGUUUAACUUCAAUAAUCAACUUCUCUGAAACACCAGUAAACAAAACAUCAUCCACAUAUACUAACAAGGCCAAAAAUGUAGAUACUGUGCCUUUAAAAAACAAGCAAUGAUCAUGUGUAGACUGGACAAACCCAAAAUCUUUCAACUUGGCAGUAAAUUCCUUAUUCCAUUGCCCCUUGGCCUGUUUAAGACCAUAUGAGGACUUCUGUAACUUACAUACUUGAUCUGUUCUAGCUUUAGAAUCACCUUCAGGAGGUAGCACACAUAAUUCUUCAUCUAUAUAACCAUGUAGGAAGGCAUUUUUGAUAUCUAAUUGAUGCAAGGACCAGUUUUUAGCUGCUGCAAUAGCUAAAAACAUCCUCACUGUCACUAGUGUUAUCAAGGCGAAAGGUGACACUAAGGCG